AGAAUUCAGAGCUUAGAAAACUGAAUUUUAACAUUAAAAAAGUUCAAUGUUAGGAGAUUUUCAGAACUUGAGAGAGAAAUACAGGCUACAUUCUUACACUUAGAAUUCAGUUUUGAGAGUUUAAAAGAAAAAAAAUACAGGCUGGUCUUUGAAUUGGAAAAAGUGAGUUUUAUUCUCAAAAAUUUUGAGUGUUAAGGCUAGUC
This 203-nucleotide long non-coding RNA is filed under the name Nicotiana benthamiana. RNAcentral describes it as "long non-coding RNA (NBEN_LNC005335)". The record is from RNAcentral. Lineage: Eukaryota; Viridiplantae; Streptophyta; Magnoliopsida; Solanales; Solanaceae.